RNAcentral lists this ribosomal RNA (496 nucleotides) under uncultured bacterium. RNAcentral's name for it is "bacterial SSU rRNA". It matches the Rfam family "Bacterial small subunit ribosomal RNA", at positions 28 to 519 of the family's 1533-position model. The record is from RNAcentral.
GAUGAACGCUAGCGGCAGGCUUAACACAUGCAAGUCGAGGGGUAGAGUAGCAAUACUUGAGACCGGCGCACGGGUGCGUAACGCGUAUGCAAUCUACCUUUUACAGAGGGAUAGCCCAGGGAAAUUUGGAUUAAUACCUCAUAGUAUAGCUGUGCCGCAUGGUACUACUAUUAAAGUCACAACGGUAAAAGAUGAGCAUGCGUCCCAUUAGCUAGUUGGUAAGGUAACGGCUUACCAAGGCUACGAUGGGUAGGGGUCCUGAGAGGGAGAUCCCCCCACACUGGUACUGAGACACGGACCAGACUCCUACGGGAGGCAGCAGUGAGGAAUAUUGGACAAUGGGCGCAAGCCUGACCCAGCCAUGCCGCGUGCAGGAUGACGGUCCUAUGGAUUGUAAACUGCUUUUUGCACAGGGAAGAAACAACGCUACGUGUAGCGUCUUGACGGUACUGUGAGAAUAAAGGGAUCGGGCUAAAACUCCGUGCCAGCCGCCGCC